Molecule: ribosomal RNA, 497 nt
Filed under: uncultured bacterium
Lineage: Bacteria
Description: partial 16S ribosomal RNA
Rfam family: Bacterial small subunit ribosomal RNA
Source: RNAcentral
GAUGAACGCUGGCGGCGUGCCUAAUACAUGCAAGUCGAGCGAACGGACGAGAAGCUUGCUUCUCUGUUGUUAGCGGCGGACGUGUGAGUAACACGUGGAUAACCUACCUAUAAGACUGGGAUAACUUCGGGAAACCGGAGCUUAUACCGGAUGAUAUUCUGAUCCGCAGUGUUCGAAAGUGAAAGACGGUCUUGCUGUCACUUAUAGAUGGAUCCGCGCUGCAUUAGCUAGUUGGUGAGGUAACGGCUUACCAAGGCAACGAUGCGUAGCCGAGCUGUGGGAGGGGUCGCCGGCCCGGGAAGUGAGACACCGUCAAGACUACUGAGGGACGGAGCAGUAGGCAAUGGUCCGCAGUGGGGGAGAGCCUGGCGGAGCAACGCGGAGUGAGUGAUGAAGAUCUUGGGAUCGGAAAGAUCGGUUAUGAGGUGUGAACAUAUGUGUAAGUAACUGUGCAGAGCGUGACGGUAACUAGUCAGAAAGCCACGGCUAACUACGUG